AUGAAGUCUACAGCAUUAGCAAUGCAGGAGGAAUUAGCUAUUUUUUUCAAACAAAGAAAGGAAGCAUUCAACAGUAAAGUUAAAAUUACUCCUUAAUUGUAUAGCACAGACAAAGAGACAGUGGAAUACGAACGCUCACGAGCUAAUGCCUGGAUACCUCUGAAAUGAGUAAGCUCGAAAUGCCUCUGUACUUAGGAAAAGAGCAUCAUGGAGGCAGAAAGUGGUACAUGUGGAAGGAUCACUUGCAAUCUUUUAAUCAGUCAAUUGAUUUUCUGUUUGAUCCUGUAAAAUAACGCGCUCUCCUCCUACUUCACCCCCAAAUAUAUGCGGUUUACAUUUGUUACGUUUGAUGAGCUGAGAGGAAUUGAAAUCAUCUCAGUUCUGUGUGAAUGAGGAGUGGGAAAAUCUGCGUUGGACCUUCUGCACAGGAGUCCCUCAUCUCCUGUCCCAGGCCACUUGUACAACACCAAAAAGGAAGGUCAAGAUUCAAAGGACUUACAAGUGAAAAAAGACAGGGAAGAAGAGAGGGUUUUUUGAUACUCUGGAACAAGGCAAUGAAAACAGAAGGCAUACCUCAGGGAUACUGAAGACUUCCCGUCUUGAGCUACUGUGCAAAUGGAAUAUUUACUUACAGAGAGGAACUGCCUCAAUAAGCAAUGUCAAGAGUGACCUAACCCCCAACAGCUCUAGCAGAGAAAGUGUUUCUGUGGGAGCUGUGUGGAUGACAGCGCCCUGAGCUGAAUGCACACGAAGCAACGUCAUGGGUAAGUGUUGUAACUAACCAGCAAUUAGCUAUGCUGAUCUCGUUUACUCUCUGUUGUUAUUGUUGUUCUUGUUUGCAUGUUUGCUUUGGGUAUUCGUCUUUUUUUUUUCCCCAAAAAACAUUGACAUCUUGCUAAUGCAGAAUAGAGAAUGUUUUAGGUUUUCU
RNAcentral lists this long non-coding RNA (928 nucleotides) under Struthio camelus australis. RNAcentral's name for it is "lncRNA (ENSSCUG00000018610.1)". The record is from RNAcentral. Lineage: Eukaryota; Metazoa; Chordata; Aves; Struthioniformes; Struthionidae.